Molecule: ribosomal RNA, 263 nt
Filed under: uncultured bacterium
Lineage: Bacteria
Description: partial 16S ribosomal RNA
Rfam family: Bacterial small subunit ribosomal RNA
Source: RNAcentral
ACGUUAAAGAGUUUACUCUUUAUGGUGGCGACCGGCGGACGGGUGCGUAACGCGUAUGCAACCUGCCUGACACAGGGGGAUAAUCCGAAGAAAUUUGGUCUAAUACCCCAUAAUACCGAUAUAGGCAUCUAUGUUGGUUGAAAGCUUUGGUGGUGUCAGAUGGGCAUGCGUUGUAUUAGCUAGUUGGUGAGGUAACGGCUCACCAAGGCGACGAUACAUAGGGGGACUGAGACACGGCCCAAACUCCUACGGGAGGCAGCAUG